Molecule: transfer RNA, 64 nt
Filed under: Duplodicodrilus schmardae
Lineage: Eukaryota; Metazoa; Annelida; Clitellata; Crassiclitellata; Megascolecidae
Description: tRNA-Val
Source: RNAcentral
CGGAGUAUAGCAUAUAAAAUGCUUUUUACUUACACUAAAAAUAAAGUUAAUAAACUUGCCCCGC